AAUCUAAGAGGCAGUUGAAAGUGGUUCUGAGCAGAGAGGACCAUUGGGGGAUGAGGCAGCUGUUGGAGAGGGAUGGGUCAAGGGAUGGAGGGUAGCACUGUGAGCUGAAAUAGGUGAAUUGGGAGGGAUGCUGGCUAGAGAAGAGGAGGCAAGAAGAGAUUGAAGGGAAAUCUCAAGGGGCUCCAGAGACUACUACGAUGGUGCAAAGUCACAGAAGCCCUGGGAAAAGCAGGUAGAAUGGAGUUGCCAUGACAUUGAGCCUCAUCUAGAUGCCAGUUCCAGAUAUUGGCAGACUGCUGGCCUCCUGAGGAGCACAGGAAGGGGCCUGGCAGACUGGUGAUCCUGGUUGGAGAUGAAGAGGGGCUGAUUAAGAGGAGCUGACUGAGGCCGGGAGGUUUCCUGCCCGGGAGUGGCGAGCCUGUCAGAGCUGCACCUGGGCCUACCUGUACCUAGGAGAGAUUCAGGGUAUGGUUGGCUUCCCACAAACACCUGGGGCUCGAGGAGUGCGCUGCCUCUGUUCCACACCUGAUGUGAUCCACAUCCACGCCCAUGCAUCUAGCCAGGAGAGUGACUGUCACUGAUGAGGCAGUGUGAUAGUACCUCUGAUGGUUUCUCUGAGAUCAGCCUUUGCACUUCACCUGUGUGGGCCAGAUGGAAAGCCAGGGUGGAGACGGAGCACCCUGGGUCAGCUGGGAUCCCACCGUGCGAUUCCACGGCAUGGGGUGUCAGAACUUGGAGUGCCGGUGGUGGCCAAAGCAGGGGUGGGGUGGCAUUCCUGUGUCUCUGCCACUCACUGGCUGUGUCACCAUGGAAAAGUCAUCUAAACCCCUCGGUGCCCCAGUCUUGUUCUCUGUCCAUGGCAAUUCGGGUAGGCCUGACCCGGUUGGAUGGCUCUGAGGUUUCAAUGAGGUAUCAUACAUGCAAAUGGUUUUUUUGGAGCCAGGUUCUUUUUAUUUAAAAAGAUUUUUUAAAAUGGGAAUACUCACUAAAAAGAGUACCUGACCUCAGCUGGGCACAAUGGCUCACACCUGUAAUCCCAGCACUUUGGGAGGCCAAGGCGGGUGGAUCACGAGGUCAGGAGAUGGAGACCUGUAGUCCCAGCUACUCGGGAGGCUGAAGCAGGAGAAUCGCUUGAACCCAGGAGGUGAGGUUGCAGUGAGCUGAGAUCCCGCCACCGCUCUCCAGCCUGAGUGACAGAGCGAGAUAAAAAAAAAAGAAAAAGGAAAAGAACCUGACUUCAGUAUCUUUGGGUGUCUGGGAUUGAGGAGUGUUCCUGAAUGGGCAUCAGGGAUUGAUGAACACUUGUGUAAGAGUUAAAGAAAGAGGAAAGAAACAUGACAUUUUUAAAGACAGGUUUACUUUAGAUAAAACCUGGAGGGGCUUCUGGCCGAUUUUGGUCAGGAGCGCUUUCUGUUACAGACUAAAAGUAUAUAUUGGUUUUAGGGUGAGGGUCUUAUCACAAGGUUGGAAUGUUUUUGGGUCAGGGAGAAGUCUAUAGCCGGGUCGGAAUGUUUCUGGGCAGAGAGGAGGUUAUCUUGGGGCUGACAUCUUCCCAGCCAGAGGGGGGUUAUCUUGGGGCUAGCAUGUCUCUGGUUGGGGAGGAGUUUGGAAUAUUUCUGGUCGGAGAUGUUAUUUGUAGUUUCUGGUCAUGCUGACCUUAGCCAUUAGGCUGAUGCCUUUUGGCUUUAGGCGGUUUUUGAUUAAGAUGAAUUUUAAAAUAAGGUGCUUGUCCACAAUGGCAAGGCCCCUGCUCUGUCACCUUGCCCCCCAAAAUUGCAAAGCUUUGUUUCUGUGUAUGCAUGUAUAAAUAUUUUUUUUUCCCUUAGGAGCAAAGGCAAUAGCUUAACUAAGAUGUUCAGAGGGAUCAUGACAAAAAGACUGAAUGCCUGGGGUUGGGGUCAGGGGCGUGUUUCAGGUGCCUUUAUUUUAUACCAGAGUUUCCCAACCUGGGGAAUCUUGCCAUGUGGGGCCAAAUCAUUCCUUGUUGUUGUAGACUGACUUGUGCAUUGCAGGGUGAUUAGCAGCAUCUCUGGCUCUACCCACUAGAUACCAGUAGCACCCUCCACCCCAUCCCCACCUAGUUUCACCAAUAAAAAAUGUCUUCAGACAUUGCUCAAUGUCUUUGGGGAGGUGAGAGUGGGACAAAAUUGCCCCCAACUGAGAACUGCUGCUUUGUGAUGUUCCUAGUGGAGUGAGCCCUCGAUAAGUGGUUGUUAUUUGCUGUGUUGAAGUUUGGCAAGAUUUCUCUUCUGGGCCUUGUUGAUCUCUUCCUAUUUCUGUGCACUGCUUAAAGGGAAAGUCGAUGACUACAGGGCUUCCAAACUCCAGCCCCAUUGGAUAUAAAGUACUAGUUCCUUAAUCUGGUGGGGCAGCCUGAUCAACUGGAACUUGGUUCUUACUGUGUUUCUCGUUAUGCAAACCUUAAGGAUUCCAGCCUGGGCAACAUAGUGAGACCCUGUCUCUACA
This is a long non-coding RNA of Pan troglodytes (chimpanzee), 2466 nucleotides long. RefSeq lists it as uncharacterized. The record is from RefSeq and is a predicted model, not a curated record. The transcript has 3 exons. Lineage: Eukaryota; Metazoa; Chordata; Mammalia; Primates; Hominidae.